This 460-nucleotide ribosomal RNA is filed under the name uncultured bacterium. Its description in RNAcentral is "partial 16S ribosomal RNA". It matches the Rfam family "Bacterial small subunit ribosomal RNA", at positions 338 to 795 of the family's 1533-position model. The record is from RNAcentral.
CCUACGGGUGGCAGCAGUGAGGAAUAUUGGUCAAUGGGCGCUAGCCUGAACCAGCCAAGCAGCGUGAAGGAUGACUGCCCUAUGGGUUGUAAACUUCUUUUAUAUGGGAAUAAAGUCUAGGAUGUAUACUGCUUUGCAUGUACCUUAUGAAUAAGGAUCGGCUAACUCCGUGCCAGCAGCCGCGGUAAUACGGAGGAUUCGAGCGUUAUCCGGAUUUAUUGGGUUUAAAGGGAGCGUAGGCGGGUUGUUAAGUCAGUUGUGAAAGUUUGCGGCUCAACCGUAAAAUUGCAGUUGAUACUGGCAGCCUUGAGUACAGUAGAGGUAGGCGGAAUUCGUGGUGUAGCGGUGAAAUGCUUAGAUAUCACGAAGAACUCCGAUUGCGAAGGCAGCCUGCUGGACUGUAACUGACGCUGAUGCUCGAAAGUGUGGGUAUCAAACAGGAUUAGAUACCCCAGUAGUC